This 88-nucleotide transfer RNA is filed under the name Candidatus Liptonbacteria bacterium. Its description in RNAcentral is "tRNA-Ser". It matches the Rfam family "tRNA". From Rfam's summary of the family: Transfer RNA (tRNA) molecules are approximately 80 nucleotides in length. Their secondary structure includes four short double-helical elements and three loops (D, anti-codon, and T loops). The record is from RNAcentral. Lineage: Bacteria; Candidatus Liptoniibacteriota.
GGAGAGGUCGCAUAGUGGUCUAGUGCACCGCCUUGGAAAGGCGGCAUACCGCAAGGUAUCGUGGGUUCAAAUCCCACCCUCUCCGCCA